UUUAGUUUGAUUUUCUGGCUCAGGACGAACGCGGGCGGCGUGCCUAAUACAUGCAAGUCGAGCGGACAGAUGGGAGCUUGCUCCCUGAUGUUAGCGGCGGACGGGUGAGUAACACGUGGGUAACCUGCCUGUAAGACUGGGAUAACUCCGGGAAACCGGGGCUAAUACCGGAUGCUUGUUUGAACCGCAUGGUUCAAACAUAAAAGGUGGCUUCGGCUACCACUUACAGAUGGACCCGCGGCGCAUUAGCUAGUUGGUGAGGUAAUGGCUCACCAAGGCAACGAUGCGUAGCCGACCUGAGAGGGUGAUCGGCCACACUGGGACUGAGACACGGCCCAGACUCCUACGGGAGGCAGCAGUAGGGAAUCUUCCGCAAUGGACGAAAGUCUGACGGAGCAACGCCGCGUGAGUGAUGAAGGUUUUCGGAUCGUAAAGCUCUGUUGUUAGGGAAGAACAAGUACCGUUCGAAUAGGGCGGUAACCUUGACGGAACCUAACCA
This 499-nucleotide ribosomal RNA is filed under the name Bacillus subtilis. RNAcentral's name for it is "bacterial SSU rRNA". It matches the Rfam family "Bacterial small subunit ribosomal RNA", at positions 1 to 485 of the family's 1533-position model. Lineage: Bacteria; Bacillati; Bacillota; Bacilli; Caryophanales; Bacillaceae. The record is from RNAcentral.